UGAACAGACUUUGCAAAAUACAGUACUCCCAGUUUGUGCUGUUUUCAAAGAUGCUUUUGUGGUAAAAUUUUCUCCUUGAAUCUGGUACAGUGAAUGCUGGCAGAGAUGUUUCACAGCUGAGAGCUGGGAAAGGGAGCUGAGGGAAUUACAGUGCCUAGUUGUAGCAGAAUGAAUUGCCUUCCCACUGACUAAAACUGUGUUUCUGACUGGGCAGCUAGCAUUCAGGGUGGAGGAACAUAGAAUUUAUUUGUCUGCAUCCUUCCUUGCCCUUGUUUGGGCAAGACCCAAACAUUCAUUAUAUCAGGUAUAUAUCAUAGGAGGUAAUGCCAGUUCCUUAAAACACAGGCAGACUGAGUGAAUCAAAAGAUGGGUGCUUUUAUUCCUUAUCAGAGGCUGAAGGCUGAGAGCUGAUGGCAGGAUUUUUAGGCUUAUCAAAACAGGUCUGUAGCUCAGGGAUCCUGAAAUCACCACUAUCCCAUAUAAGAUAACAUUUGUAAUUUAUCUCCAUCCUAUGAUGGUAUUUGGUGAAGAGGUUGAGCCAAAGUUCCCGAAACAUACAGGUAACAAAACCAUUAUCAGUCUUUUUACUUUCUCGUAGCAAAUUCUCAGAUUCAUCCUUUUGACAUUGCAUGUCAUUGCAGUUGCAAUGCUAUUUCCCCUCUCACAGUUCUGAAAAAUGUCUUUAUUGUGCUGUUUCCUCUCAAGCACUUUCUUAAUACUCCUCUCUCCCUAGAGAGCAAGGCUGUCUAACCACUGCACCAGAAAGGUGCACAAUGUACGCUGCUGCAGUGUGGUGUAGUAACGCUUGCUCGUUGGCGGCUCAGUAUGUGAUUGCAAAAGGACUGAUCCUGUCAUCAAAAGUGCAGAGCAACAGAGGUCAGACGGAAAUUACAGAGAAUGAGAAGACGGAAAAACGAAGCGUGCAGCUGUCUGUGAUAAUUCGGAGUUGAUUUCACAGCUUGUGCAAGUUUUCUUCACCCACUUGGAAGCCGUCUCCCUGGGGAAUUGGUUCCACUCCAGCAGAACAUAUACAAGCUCUUGGUACAACAGGAGCAGCUUUUAUAUCCUCAUAGCAAAUCAAUAAUGAUAUUUGCUCCAUAAAACAGGAAAACUGUAACAGCUGAAAAAAAUUGUUUCUUCCAUUUUUUAAAUGCUGAAUUCCACCUCUGCCAGGAAAAUGAAACCUCUUUCCUAGCUCUACCAUGUUUUGUUACAGGUCUACACAUAUUCUACAGUCUCAUUUCCUGCUUUGCUGCCUUUCAUAUUUGCAGGGCCAUAUCUGAGAAACAUUGACCCAGAUAAGACUGCUUGUACUCAGACUCUAGUCUUUCACAUUUGCUAGAGAAAUAAAAAUACAACCAAUGUGCA
Molecule: long non-coding RNA, 1368 nt
Filed under: Apteryx rowi (Okarito brown kiwi)
Lineage: Eukaryota; Metazoa; Chordata; Aves; Apterygiformes; Apterygidae
Description: lncRNA (ENSARWG00000000383.1)
Source: RNAcentral